GACGAACGCUGGCGGCGUGCUUAACACAUGCAAGUCGAACGGUGAAGCACCUUCCUUUUGGUGGGUGUGGAUGAGUGGCGAACGGGUGAGUAACACGUGAGUAACCUGCCCCCUUCUUCUGGAUAACCGCAUGAAAGUGUGGCUAAUACGGGAUAUUCUGGGUCUGUCGCAUGGCGGGCCUGGGAAAGAUAUUGUUUCGGUGGGGGAUGGGCUCGCGGUCUAUCAGCUUGAUGGUGGGGUGAUGGCCUACCAAGGCGGUGACGGGUAGCCGGCCUGAGAGGGUGGACGGUCACACUGGGACUGAGACACGGCCCAGACUCCUACGGGAGGCAGCAGUGGGGAAUAUUGCACAAUGGGCGCAAGCCUGAUGCAGCGACGCCGCGUGAGGGAUGGAGGCCUUCGGGUUGUAAACCUCUUUCGCCAGUGAAGCAGGCCUGUCCCUUUUGUGGGUGGGUUGACGGUAGCUGGAUAAGAAGCGCCGGCUAACUACGUG
This 493-nucleotide ribosomal RNA is filed under the name uncultured bacterium. RNAcentral describes it as "partial 16S ribosomal RNA". It matches the Rfam family "Bacterial small subunit ribosomal RNA", at positions 28 to 507 of the family's 1533-position model. The record is from RNAcentral.